AGAGUUUGAUCCUGGCUCAGAACGAACGCUGGCGGCGUGGAUAAGGCAUGCAAGUCGAGCGAGAAAGUUCCCUUCGGGGAGCGAGUACAGCGGCAAACGGGUGAGUACCACGUGGGUAACUUGCCUUCGGGUGGGGGACAACCUCGGGAAACCGAGGCUAAUACCGCAUAACGUUAUGCUUUCGCAUGUUAGCAUAACCAAAGGAGGGGAUCUUCGGACCUUUCGCCAAAUGAGGAGCCCGCGUCUGAUUAGCUAGUUGGUGGGGUAACGGCCUACCAAGGCGAUGAUCAGUAGCCGGUCUGAGAGGAUGGCCGGUCACACUGGGAUUGAGAUACGGCCCAGACUCCUACGGGAGGCAGCAGUCUAGAAGCUUCGACAAUGGACGAAAGUCUGAUCGAGCGACGCCGCGUGCAGGACGAAGGUUUUCGGAUCGUAAACUGCUUUCGACAGGGAAGAACGGUAUAUAGGCUAAUAUCUUAUAUAUUUGACGGUACCUGCAGAAGAAGCCCCGGCUAACUCCGUGCCAGCAGCCGCGGUAAUACGGAGGGGGCAAGCGUUGUUCGGAUUUAUUGGGCGUAAAGCGAGCGCAGGCUGUUUUUUAAGUCGGAUGUUAAAGACCCACGGCUCAACCGGGGGAAUGCGUUCGAUACUGAAAGACUUGAGUGCAAGAGAGGAUAGCGGAAUUCCUGGUGUAGCGGUGAAAUGCGUAGAUAUCAGGAGGAACACCUGUGGCGAAGGCGGCUAUCUGGCUUGUUACUGACGCUGAGGCUCGAAAGUGUGGGGAGCGAACGGGAUUAGAUACCCCGGUAGUCCACACCGUAAACGAUGGAUACUAGGUGUGGGAGGCGUUCUACCCCUUCUGUGCCGCAGCUAACGCAUUAAGUACACCGCCUGGGGAGUACGGUCGCAAGACUGAAACUCAAAGGAAUUGACGGGGGCCCGCACAAGCGGUGGAGCAUGUGGUUUAAUUCGAGGCAACGCGAAGAACCUUACCCAGGCUUGACAUCACCGUAAGGUACCGUGCCUUCCUGGAAACUUCGGGGAAUCCGAAGACAGGUGUUGCAUGGCUGUCGUCAGCUCGUGUCGUGAGAUGUUGGGUUAAGUCCCGCAACGAGCGCAACCCCUAUCCUUAGUUACCAGCGGUUCGGCCGGGGACUCUAAGGAAACUGCCGGUUUCAAGCCGGAGGAAGGUGGGGACGACGUCAAGUCAUCAUGGCCCUUAUGUCCUGGGCUACACACGUGCUACAAUGGCCGGUACAGUGGGCAGCAAUACCGCGAGGUGGAGCGAAUCCCAAAAAGCCGGUCUCAGUUCGGAUUGGAGUCUGCAACUCGACUCCAUGAAGUCGGAAUCGCUAGUAAUCGCGUAUCAGCUACGACGCGGUGAAUACGUUCCCGGGCCUUGUACACACCGCCCGUCACAUGACCCGAGUCGGUUGCACCCGAAGUCACUGGCCCAACCCGCAAGGGAGGGAGGUGCCGAAGGUGUGAUUGGUAAGGGGGAUGAAGUCGUAACAA
RNAcentral lists this ribosomal RNA (1515 nucleotides) under uncultured prokaryote. RNAcentral describes it as "partial 16S ribosomal RNA". It matches the Rfam family "Bacterial small subunit ribosomal RNA". The record is from RNAcentral.